UGCCAGACUCCUACGGGAGGCGGCAGUGAGGAAUAUUGGUCAAUGGUCGGGAGACUGAACCAGCCAAGCCGCGUGAGGGAUGAAGGUACAGAGUAUCGUAAACCUCUUUUGUCAGGGAACAAAGGCGGGGACGUGUCCCCGGAUGAGUGUACCUGAAGAAAAAGCAUCGGCUAACUACGUGCCAGCAGCCGCGGUAAUACGUAGGUGGCAAGCGUUGUCCGGAUUUACUGGGUGUAAAGGGCGUGUAGCCGGGCUGACAAGUCAGAUGUGAAAUCCGGGGGCCCAACCCCCGAACUGCAUUUGAAACUGUUGGUCUUGAGUAUCGGAGAGGCAGGCGGAAUUCCUAGUGUAGCGGUGAAAUGCGUAGAUAUUAGGAGGAACACCAGUGGCGAAGGCGGCCUGCUGGACGACAACUGACGGUGAGGCGCGAAAGCGUGGGGAGCAAACAGGAUUAGAUACCCCAGUA
This 466-nucleotide ribosomal RNA is filed under the name uncultured bacterium. RNAcentral's name for it is "bacterial SSU rRNA". It matches the Rfam family "Bacterial small subunit ribosomal RNA", at positions 329 to 792 of the family's 1533-position model. The record is from RNAcentral.